Molecule: long non-coding RNA, 513 nt
Organism: Cyprinus carpio (common carp)
Lineage: Eukaryota; Metazoa; Chordata; Actinopteri; Cypriniformes; Cyprinidae
Source: Ensembl
CUGCACUUAGGGGGACGAAGGGCUUGCUGCUAGACGAGCCCUGCGAGAACCCCCAGCCGCGCCCCCGCUCCUCACCCACCCCACGGUGGCGGUGGAGGAGGGAGGGGGGCGAUUGAUCGUCAAGCGACGCUCAGACAGGCGUAGCCCCGGGAGGAACCCGGGGCCGCAAGUGCGUUCGAAGUGUCGAUGAUCAAUGUGUCCUGCAAUUCACAUUAAUUCUCGCAGCUAGCUGUCGUUCUUCAUCGACGCACGAGCCGAGUGAUCCACCGCUAAGAGUCGUACGGUUUGGUUUGGCGGCCCACCUUUCGGUGGGUGUGCCAGAGGUGUGUGGCCACGGGCCACGGAGCAACGUUCAACAAACGGGGGUGGUUCGGGUUGAUCGAAGUCAACGGGAGGAAGUCGUAUAACUUCGUAUAAUGUAUGCUAUACGAAGUUAUUACGACGAACGAACGAACGGGGCUUCCAUCCUCCCUACCACCACCACCCCCCGCCCCCGACCGGCGGGAUUGGGCG